GAUGAACGCUGGCGGCGUGCCUAAUACAUGCAAGUCGAGCGAACGGAUGAGAAGCUUGCUUCUCUGAUGUUAGCGGCGGACGGGUGAGUAACACGUGGAUAACCUACCUAUAAGACUGGGAUAACUUCGGGAAACCGGAGCUAAUACCGGAUAAUAUUUUGAACCGCAUGGUUCAAAAGUGAAAGACGGUCUUGCUGUCACUUAUAGAUGGAUCCGCGCUGCAUUAGCUAGUUGGUAAGGUAACGGCUUACCAAGGCAACGAUGCAUAGCCGACCUGAGAGGGUGAUCGGCCACACUGGAACUGAGACACGGUCCAGACUCCUACGGGAGGCAGCAGUAGGGAAUCUUCCGCAAUGGGCGAAAGCCUGACGUAGCAACGCCGCGUGAGUGAUGAAGGUCUUCGGAUCGUAAAACUCUGUUAUUAGGGAAGAACAUAUGUGUAAGUAACUGUGCACAUCUUGACGGUACCUAAUCAGAAAGCCACGGCUAACUACGUG
RNAcentral lists this ribosomal RNA (497 nucleotides) under uncultured bacterium. Its description in RNAcentral is "partial 16S ribosomal RNA". It matches the Rfam family "Bacterial small subunit ribosomal RNA", at positions 28 to 507 of the family's 1533-position model. The record is from RNAcentral.